ACCCGCACAAGCGGUGGAUGAUGUGGUUUAAUUCGAUGCAACGCGAAAACCUUACCCACCUUUGACAUGUACGGAAUCCUUUAGAGAUAGAGGAGUGCUCGAAAGAGAACCGUAACACAGGUGCUGCAUGGCUGUCGUCAGCUCGUGUCGUGAGAUGUUGGGUUAAGUCCCGCAACGAGCGCAACCCUUGUCAUUAGUUGCUACAUUCAGUUGGGCACUCUAAUGGGACUGCCGGUGACAAACCGGAGGAAGGUGGGGAUGACGUCAAGUCCUCAUGGCCCUUAUAGGUGGGGCUACACACGUCAUACAAUGGCCGGUACAGAGGGUAGCCAACCCGCGAGGGGGAGCCAAUCCCACAAAGCCGGUCGUAGUCCGGAUCGCAGUCUGCAACUCGACUGCGUGAAGUCGGAAUCGCUAGUAAUCGUGGAUCAGCAUGUCACGGUGAAUACGUUCCCGGGUCUU
RNAcentral lists this ribosomal RNA (462 nucleotides) under uncultured Acidovorax sp. Its description in RNAcentral is "bacterial SSU rRNA". It matches the Rfam family "Bacterial small subunit ribosomal RNA", at positions 919 to 1382 of the family's 1533-position model. The record is from RNAcentral. Lineage: Bacteria; Pseudomonadati; Pseudomonadota; Betaproteobacteria; Burkholderiales; Comamonadaceae.